RNAcentral lists this ribosomal RNA (450 nucleotides) under uncultured bacterium. Its description in RNAcentral is "bacterial SSU rRNA". It matches the Rfam family "Bacterial small subunit ribosomal RNA", at positions 354 to 796 of the family's 1533-position model. The record is from RNAcentral.
GUGGGGAAUAUUGGACAAUGGGCGAAAGCCUGAUCCAGCCAUGCCGCGUGUGUGAAGAAGGUCUUCGGAUUGUAAAGCACUUUAAGUUGGGAGGAAGGGCAGUAAGUUAAUACCUUGCUGUUUUGACGUUACCGACAGAAUAAGCACCGGCUAACUUCGUGCCAGCAGCCGCGGUAAUACGAAGGGUGCAAGCGGUAAUCGGAAUUACUGGGCGUAAAGCGCGCGUAGGUGGUGUUGGAAGUUGGAGGUGAAAUCCCCGGGCUCAACCUGGGAACUGCCUCCAAAACUGCAUGACUAGAGUACGGUAGAGGGUAGUGGAAUUUCCUGUGUAGCGGUGAAAUGCGUAGAUAUAGGAAGGAACACCAGUGGCGAAGGCGACUACCUGGACUGAUACUGACACUGAGGUGCGAAAGCGUGGGGAGCAAACAGGAUUAGAUACCCCGGUAGUCC